RNAcentral lists this ribosomal RNA (254 nucleotides) under uncultured bacterium. RNAcentral describes it as "partial 16S ribosomal RNA". It matches the Rfam family "Bacterial small subunit ribosomal RNA", at positions 524 to 776 of the family's 1533-position model. The record is from RNAcentral.
UACGGGGGGAGCAAGCGUUGUUCGGAUUUACUGGGCGUAAAGGGCGCGUAGGCGGUCGUGACAAGUCACUUGUGAAAUCUCCGGGCUUAACUCGGAACGGUCAAGUGAUACUGUCGGACUAGAGUACAGAAGGGGCAACUGGAAUUCUCGGUGUAGCGGUGAAAUGCGUAGAUAUCGAGAGGAACACCUGCGGCGAAGGCGGGUUGCUGGGCUGAUACUGACACUGAGGCACGAAAGCGUGGGGAGCAAACAGG